AGGAGACUAUGCCAUUUGCCGAAUUAUGGAUAUAUUAAGUAACUAAUUGCUAAUAGUGAGAGUGUAGUGCAUCCUUGCAUAACGGCACUUGGAUUUCACACUGCAGGCAUAAUAAAUAAUUACUUUUUUUUGGUACUAAAGCAACGUACGUUCUUUGUUUUUCUGCGUACGACGUGUACAAUUCCCUUGCAAAACUAAGGUUCGCUUGUUCAAUUGCUA
Molecule: non-coding RNA, 219 nt
Organism: Schizosaccharomyces pombe (fission yeast)
Lineage: Eukaryota; Fungi; Ascomycota; Schizosaccharomycetes; Schizosaccharomycetales; Schizosaccharomycetaceae
Source: the annotation of a GenBank genome assembly